CUGUCUCUUGCUUCAACAGUGCUUGGAUGGGACAU
Ovis aries (sheep) is the source of this 35-nucleotide regulatory RNA element. It matches the Rfam family "Iron response element I". NCBI's taxonomy places the organism in Eukaryota, Metazoa, Chordata, Mammalia, Artiodactyla, Bovidae. The record is from Rfam.